Long non-coding RNA from Orbicella faveolata, 1252 nucleotides. Lineage: Eukaryota; Metazoa; Cnidaria; Anthozoa; Scleractinia; Merulinidae. The record is from RefSeq and is a predicted model, not a curated record.
ACAUAAUCAGUUGCAUUUCUGUUCAUUUGGACAUUGUUGGUUAAGUUGUUUGAUCAAAUUCAGGGACAUGUCAAAUAACAUUGACAAAGAAAUAAGUGUCUCACUCAAAAAUACGCAAUUAAAGUGAGUCAAAAUGAAAAAUUUUCACAAAAUCGUGAAAUUAAGGUGUUGCAAAAUAUGCGAACCUCAAAAUCACGAAAUUAACGUGUCGCGAAAAUUUCAUGUAAUAAGGUAUGCCAGAGUACACCAGAACAUUCUACAGGUAGCACAUCCCAAAAUGUUACGGAAUUUAAGGUGAAUGCUAGGAUCCAGGCUUUGAUAUUGAACAUUAUCUGUUUCUGCUUGGCAUUCCAGCUGUUCCAGGUUAUAUUACAUGCCAUUUUGUUCACCAUGCACACAGUGAACAUGAAGAAAAAUUGUUGUUCUGUCUGGUGUCAAGCAGUGCAGAUGUUAGAACAAGACAAUGCUGGUGUACUUUGUCGGUUUGCUUGUGUCAGAGGCCUGAUCAUCUUGGGAAUUAGCUCAAAACAGUACAGUGCUAGUACAUUACGUAACAUGUACAUGUAACAAUUAAUUAUAAACAAGCGUCUGCCCUCAUAUAUUUAAAGACACCAUUCACUACAAGUGUAUCAGCCUCUGGGCUGUUUAAAAACUCUUAGGAACUUUUGGCAACAAAAAACAAAUCAUAAUGAUAUUAUUUUUUCCCUUCCCUAAGCUGUGACGAAUUAAAGACAGAAAUCGAAUUGCUAAGGAGAUCUCCAGUCUCCCAAAGGCUGAAAAUAAUGGCUCUUCACAAGAUUUCAAUGAGAAGCAAAGAAAAGAACAGCAAAAGCUGGAAGAAAUAAAGAGCAAACUUGACAGAAUUUCUGAACAACUAGAACCCGAUGAAGUUGAGGAAGACAUUUCAGAAAGAUGCAAGAAGGCGAUGUUGGUGCAACCAACAGUAACUUGCAGACAGAUAAAGCUGAUGACGAUGGCACGCACAUGCCAGAGAGUGAAGACGAAGAUGAAGUUGAUGACGACGAUGACGAUGACGAGAGUGAAGAGGAAACCACGACAAACAUAGUUAUGGUGAGUCAGUUUUAUUUCAGAUACACUGUAGUCCGAAUCACGGCAUUUCAGGAAACGUGCGUUUUGACUCGUCCAUGUAGGCGAAGAUCGGAGUUCCAUCUCUGAAAGUUUAUCUGUUUCCGCAGUUCUGGUAGCCUGAGAACGGAGAUGUACAUGUAUUUUACGUCUGCGUUCGCAGGCU